Molecule: transfer RNA, 67 nt
Filed under: Peckia resona
Lineage: Eukaryota; Metazoa; Arthropoda; Insecta; Diptera; Sarcophagidae
Description: tRNA-Glu
Source: RNAcentral
AUUUAUAUAGUUUAACAAAAACAUUACAUUUUCAUUGUAAAAUUAAAAAAUUUUUUUUUAUAAAUUA